CCUACGGGAGGCAGCAGUUGGGAAUAUUGCACAAUGGGGGGAACCCUGAUGCAGCAACGCCGCGUGAAGGAAGACGGUUUUCGGAUUGUAAACUUCUAUCAAUAGGGACGAAAGAAAUGACGGUACAUAAAUCAGACGCCCGGGCUAACUACGUGCCAGCAGCCGAGGUAAUACGUAGGGGGAAAGCGUUAUCCGGAAUUACUGGGUGUAAAGGGAGAGUAGGCGGCAAGGUAAGCGAUAUGUGAAAGCCUUAGUCUUAACCUGCGGAUUGCAUAACGAAAUAUCUAGCUAGAGUACAGGAGAGGAAAGCGGAAUUCCUAGUGUAGCGGUGAAAUGCGUAGAGAGUAGGAAGAACAUCAGUAGCGAAGGCGGCUUUCUGGACUUAAACUGACGCUGAGGCUCGAAAGCGUGGGGAGCGAACAGGAUUAGAUACCCUUGUAGUC
Molecule: ribosomal RNA, 443 nt
Filed under: uncultured bacterium
Lineage: Bacteria
Description: partial 16S ribosomal RNA
Rfam family: Bacterial small subunit ribosomal RNA
Source: RNAcentral